RNAcentral lists this ribosomal RNA (440 nucleotides) under uncultured bacterium. Its description in RNAcentral is "partial 16S ribosomal RNA". It matches the Rfam family "Bacterial small subunit ribosomal RNA", at positions 338 to 795 of the family's 1533-position model. The record is from RNAcentral.
CCUACGGGUGGCAGCAGUGGGGAAUAUUGGACAAUGGGGGGAACCCUGAUCCAGCGACGCCGCGUGAGUGAAGAAGUAUUUCGGUAUGUAAAGCUCUAUCAGCAGGGAAGAAAAUGACGGUACCUGACUAAGAAGCCCCGGCUAACUACGUGCCAGCAGCCGCGGUAAUACGUAGGGGGCAAGCGUGAUCCGGAUUUACUGGGGGUAAAGGGAGCGUAGAAGGGGCAGCAAGUCUGAUGUGAAAGGUCGGGGCCUAACCCCGGGAUUGCAGUGGAAACUGUGGAACUGGAGUGCAGGAGAGGUAAGCGGAAUUCAUAGUGUAGCGGUGAAAUGCGUAGAUAUUAGGAGGAACACCAGUGGCGAAGGCGGGUGACUGGACUGUAACUGACGUUGAGGCUCGAAAGUGUGGGGAGCAAACAGGAGUAGAUACCCCUGUAGUC